This 1154-nucleotide ribosomal RNA is filed under the name Pseudarthrobacter equi. Its description in RNAcentral is "bacterial SSU rRNA". It matches the Rfam family "Bacterial small subunit ribosomal RNA", at positions 379 to 1533 of the family's 1533-position model. Lineage: Bacteria; Bacillati; Actinomycetota; Actinomycetes; Micrococcales; Micrococcaceae. The record is from RNAcentral.
AAGCCUGAUGCAGCGACGCCGCGUGAGGGAUGACGGCCUUCGGGUUGUAAACCUCUUUCAGUAGGGAAGAAGCGUAAGUGACGGUACCUGCAGAAGAAGCGCCGGCUAACUACGUGCCAGCAGCCGCGGUAAUACGUAGGGCGCAAGCGUUAUCCGGAAUUAUUGGGCGUAAAGAGCUCGUAGGCGGUUUGUCGCGUCUGCCGUGAAAGUCCGGGGCUCAACUCCGGAUCUGCGGUGGGUACGGGCAGACUAGAGUGAUGUAGGGGAGACUGGAAUUCCUGGUGUAGCGGUGAAAUGCGCAGAUAUCAGGAGGAACACCGAUGGCGAAGGCAGGUCUCUGGGCAUUAACUGACGCUGAGGAGCGAAAGCAUGGGGAGCGAACAGGAUUAGAUACCCUGGUAGUCCAUGCCGUAAACGUUGGGCACUAGGUGUGGGGGACAUUCCACGUUUUCCGCGCCGUAGCUAACGCAUUAAGUGCCCCGCCUGGGGAGUACGGCCGCAAGGCUAAAACUCAAAGGAAUUGACGGGGGCCCGCACAAGCGGCGGAGCAUGCGGAUUAAUUCGAUGCAACGCGAAGAACCUUACCAAGGCUUGACAUGAACCGGAAACGCCUGGAAACAGGUGCCCCACUUGUGGUCGGUUUACAGGUGGUGCAUGGUUGUCGUCAGCUCGUGUCGUGAGAUGUUGGGUUAAGUCCCGCAACGAGCGCAACCCUCGUUCUAUGUUGCCAGCACGUGAUGGUGGGGACUCAUAGGAGACUGCCGGGGUCAACUCGGAGGAAGGUGGGGACGACGUCAAAUCAUCAUGCCCCUUAUGUCUUGGGCUUCACGCAUGCUACAAUGGCCGGUACAAAGGGUUGCGAUACUGUGAGGUGGAGCUAAUCCCAAAAAGCCGGUCUCAGUUCGGAUUGGGGUCUGCAACUCGACCCCAUGAAGUCGGAGUCGCUAGUAAUCGCAGAUCAGCAACGCUGCGGUGAAUACGUUCCCGGGCCUUGUACACACCGCCCGUCAAGUCACGAAAGUUGGUAACACCCGAAGCCGGUGGCCUAACCCCUUGUGGGGGGGAGCCGUCGAAGGUGGGACUGGCGAUUGGGACUAAGUCGUAACAAGGUAGCCGUACCGGAAGGUGCGGCUGGAUCACCUCCUUUCUAAGGA